UCGCAGGCGUGCAGCUUCUCCUCUGUGUGCGUGCUGCGAUGGAUGGCCAGGGAGCCGCUCCGCCGGAAGGCACGCCCACAAUCUGGGCAGGGGUAGGGCUUCUCUCCGGUGUGCAAGAGCUGGUGCUGGAGCAGCGUGCUGCGCUGGGAGAAGCGGGCCUCACAGUGCUCGCAGGCAUAGGGACGCUCCCCGGAGUGCACACGCCGGUGACUGACCAGGCGAGAGGAGGAGGAGAAGCGCCGCUCGCAGUCCGGGCACGGGUAGGGCUUCUCGCCCGUGUGGAUGCGCUGGUGGAUGACGAGGGCCGUGCGCUGGCGGAAGCGGCGGUUGCACUCGAGGCUCCAGAUGUUCCUAUAGAUAACUACAAGGAACAACUGCACCUGGUGUGUGACUGUCCUCAGCAUUCCUUCUGGUGGCAGAUGCAGUUGUCAGCUUGCCAACAUCCUGCAUUCAUGAGAACAGUGUGCUGUUUGCUCAUAUAGCCUCCAGUGGUAUACUGAGUUGGUCACGACCCUCAUUCUUUCGGCCUCCAACAUCUCCCCCUUUCUGUUUUUGCAUUAAUUGAAUAAAGGUAAUUGCAGGCUGUGCAGCUCUCAAUUGCCAGCUGGUGGUCCAGCUGAUUUUACAGACUGUGAACAAAAAGCAGAAACAUAAUAACAUUUUUCCAAUAAUUACACAAAAG
Molecule: long non-coding RNA, 682 nt
Filed under: Pan troglodytes (chimpanzee)
Lineage: Eukaryota; Metazoa; Chordata; Mammalia; Primates; Hominidae
Description: long non-coding RNA NONPTRT005997
Source: RNAcentral